Long non-coding RNA from Perognathus longimembris pacificus (Pacific pocket mouse), 3590 nucleotides. RefSeq lists it as uncharacterized. The transcript has 8 exons. The record is from RefSeq and is a predicted model, not a curated record. NCBI's taxonomy places the organism in Eukaryota, Metazoa, Chordata, Mammalia, Rodentia, Heteromyidae.
GCGACAGUCUCGGAGCUGCUGGAGAGGCAGAGAGCACGCAACUGGGUAAAUUCGUAGACGUGGAAUUUCUGGAAUAAAUGGUCACCAAUUGUUUCAGCUUUACUCAUUGCGUAAUCCAACCUUCUUGCACUGCUUUGAAAUGUCAACAGCUGUUCUCCCAUUAGAUGGGGUGUAGUUUUCCACAGGUAUUCAAGAGAGUUAUCUGGAUUCAUUUCCUGGGAUUUUCUAGAAUGGCGUACAAGGCAAAUAAAUAUUAUCCUGGGAACAGAUCUGUACUGCAGUGUACAACUCAUCCUCUAAUGCUCCUGUUGGCCAAAGAAUACAAACACACAUUGACCCCUUUAGUGCACAGUGUUUUCCCUUAGCAUACAGGUUUGCUCUGUAGUAUACCCCUGCCCCAAGUCACAUCCGUACACACUAGCAAAAAUAUUUGCCCCCAUGCUACAGGGAUAUUUACCACCUCACUGCACUUACAAAAGCAACAGAUUAUCUUCAACACACAGACCCAUCUAAGGGAGACUAAUGUACCCCACAUAACAGUGGCUUGCUGUACAAUAAAGACUUUACCUAUGAAAUACAGACAAUUGAAGCCUUACAAACCCUUUCCAUCACACAGCCCUUCCUUUCCCAGGGCACACACAAUGUACAGACUUGAAUCACAGAACAUCUAUCAUCCCUACAACAUGCACAUAUAGCCCAGAGACACUCCCCAUUGUACAAAAUACCCCCACUCCAUAGAACACAGGUCUAUUCAUGAUCACCAUUCUCCAGCACAUGCUCCACCAACCCAACCAUUGACUGAUACACCUCCUAGGCACACACACUCCUCAUAUCACACCAACCCGUGCAACAGUCAUGCCCCACAGCACACAGAUUCUCUGUCAUGGUGACUCUCACAGCAGAACACUCUCUGUCCACAGCACACAAUCAUUGUAGCACACACAGAAUCUGUCCACAUAUUGUAGACUUUCCCUCCAGAACACAGAUUCCUAACACAGUUUGAAAUCAUCCUAUGACACAAGACUUGGUUAACAGAGAGAUGCACCCCAUGACACACAGACAAUUACCACAACAAUCAGAUCAAACAACAGGACACAGACUCAUUUCACUACACAGACAUUUUCCAGGUCAUGCGUACUCACCCUCUGAAACACACAGUAAGGACACAGUACGGAGAUAUUUCCCAUGGCACUCCGAGAAGUUUACCCUACCACGCUGAGAGACAACAAUCAUGCCACAACAUCCAUCCAUACAUACAUACAUACAAUGCUUCCAUAUAUAAGAUUGUACUACAACAUACAAACUUACUCUUCUCUAUACCAGUUCACUUUACAAUGAACAUGCUCACUCUACAAUGCAAAUACUUGCUAGGCACUUCUUUGCCCUACAGCAUCUGAAUCUUCUCCCAAACUCAUGGUCACAGUGCAUGCUAUGGUCCUUUAUCACCCUACGUAACCUGAAAUUCCUCAGACACACUCUGUGGUACACAGACAUACAUUACAUUGCUUAACAUGGUAUCACAGCAUUCAGCUUGGCACUACAACAGAUAAGACUCGUUUCACAAACAGGCACAUUCACCUUUGACACAUUCAUCUUCCACUACAGUAUUCAGAACCCCCCUCGGAGCACUACAUAGGUGUAAUCCACAGUUCUCUCACUCAUCCUGCAACACAACAGGCCACCACUAAAAUGCCCAAAAUAUGCUAUGGCACACACUGGCUCCAAUAUGCCCAAAACCCAUGGUAUCAUUUGUCAAGUAAAUCAGAGUUACCACAAAGCGCCACAACUAUAUACACCGUGCACACUGCUGCGUAUACCCACACAUACACAAAAGUCCAGAAAAAUCCACAGAUUCUCCCAUCAAUACACAUACUUGUUUCACAACUCAUAAAAAACACUGCUGAAUACUGAGACUCCACCUAAAUGCAUAGAUAAAACAUUUGAACAAAGACUCACCCCAGAAACAUACUCAUUUGUACUCAUAACGCAUGCCUUAAAAUCCACAGGAAACUUGUAAACACAUAGGUUUUUCUUUUCAUAACACACAGAAUUGUAUCACAACACUGAUCUACUUUAUAAUGUAAAAACCCACAACGAACAUAACAAUUUCCUAUUGUGUAGAUGUAUAAUACACAUAUUCCACCUACCUUAGAAAGAUUUCCAUUAUGGUGGGAAGACAUGCUUCACCUUAGUAUUGAGACACAAAUGGCCUACUACAGAGAUACUGCUUGUGUUAUGAUUAAGAACAAAUCUUCUGGAACUAGACUACCUGAAUUUGAAUUCAGAUCCUAUCCUUUACUAAAUGUAUGACUACAGGACAUCUUGUUCCAGAUUUUGACGGAAAUGCCUUACAGCACUGCGCACAAUGAACCUACAAUCAGAAGACUUGCCUCACAAGGCCUGGACUCACCAUCUAGCAGAACUAUAAUGCACAGGAGGAGCUAGAAGACUGAGCCCAGUGGAAGAGGGCCUCACACUGUGUGUGCGUAUGCCACCUAGUGACCAUGUUGAGUGGUGGUAGCUGUGAUUUUCACCUCACUGACAGCCUGACCCGGACUCCUGACUUCCCCGAUGCCUUCACAACUGCAAGUCAUUCUUGGGCAACCUUCGAGUUCAUCUAGUUGGUGCCUUUGAGAGCUUUGGCACAAUAUACAAGUUUAACCACCAUCGUGUUGCCUUGCUGAUUAGUUCUUGUGACAAGAUCAACAUUUGGGUUGCUUCCCUCAUCUUCUGCCUACUGUUCCUUCUGCAGCCAUUGGUCACACUCGUGUGUUGUCACUUUUUAUUUGCCUAAUGAAUUUUAUUGUUUGGCUAUUAUUACAAAUUAAUAAUGCCCACAGCUUCGUGAUAUGAAACUUUUAAGCUUGUAAGUUUGCAUAAGUUAGAUAGGUGAUAGAAAUGCAAGAACAGUAGAGAGCAAGAAAGGUCCUGUGACAGUGCAGACAGGAGCUUUGAGAUGCUUGGUAAUGGUGAAAGCGAGAACUCUGGAGGACAUUUGGGCAUGGAUGAAGCUCCAGUUUGUUCAUUUGUGGAUGCUGUUAGGGCCAGUGCAGUCAAGUAUUCCGCAGCAUCACUGGGGAGAUCGCACAUGACUCAAAUUGCCAAAAUGGAGAACAUGGCAAUUGAUUUGCAUUUGUCACUGCUAGAGCUGAAUAGUACUUUUUCCAUAUGUGGAAUCCACUAGUGACUAUCAUGGAAAUGCAAGCAUAGCUUUGGGUCUGGAUAAAAAAAUAAUCACAUUCCUUUCAAAUAAUCUGUGCUUCGAUAGGCUUGUGAAACAGUAUGGCCUGUGUAUAAAGCAAUGACUGAGAGUAAGCAGAGUAAUAGCUACUGCGGAAUAGCCUGAAUAGCUGAAAGACUGAGUAAGGAAAUGGUGUUUGCAUGAAGUGAUUUUCAGAGGCAAUGAAGGCUCUUGUUCUGGGAGCACAUGUAAAUUUACUUAUCUAUUGUGAAAGAUGAGAGACGGGCCAGAGGUUUCAUACCUAGAAGACAAGCUCAAAAUUCUGCUUCGUUCCAGUGCUUCUGGUGAUUUCCUUACUAAUCCUUGGUUACUUCCCAAAUUUAGAGAUUCUUGUCCUUUUAAAACACAA